CAUGCAGAGGGGCGUAGUUCCAAGGCCGGAGCGGUGCGAAUUCGGUUUUGUGUGCCUUUCCUUAUUUACCUAGGGUUGACACUCUACGGACGGAGUUUGAGCCGAAGCGCUGCUACGAGUGCGAGGAUAGUGAAGUCACUUACUCUUUGCCUGAGCCGCUCGUUUCGCCGCUCAAGUGUGUUUACACGGGCCGAGCGCACGUGGUCUCGAGCCAGGCUGGAAGGUCACCGGUCAGACCCGUGCACCUGGACCGCAUCCACACCCCCUCGAUGCCGCUUCGACUCCAUUAACUUCUUUUUUCCUGUGUUGUGAUUUUUAACCAAACUUUGUUUCGUGAUGAUGCUCAGCCACAAAGGCUACCCGGACUCGAGCUGCAGCAUGGGCUCCAUGCAGCCCAUGAGUGCCAUGAGCAACAGCUACAGCAUGAACAGUGCCACGGCCUCAUCCAUGAGCAUGGCCGGCAUGAACUAUUCACCGCAAAGUUUCGGCACCAACAUGAUGUCGGCCUCUGCCAUGGGCGGCAUGGGCCCCGCUGCCGGCAUGGGCAUGGGCGUCGGUGGCACGGCUGGCACCUGCAUGUCUCCAACCAUGACAGCCAUGACCCCGCUCGGCGGUAUGAACUCUCUGAACCAAAGCAUGAACGGCAUGACCUCUCCGGCCUGCAUGGGCACCAUGGCCGGACUGGGCAGCAUGAACACGCCUCUAGUCGCCGCAGCCGGACGAGACUUCGCGAGCCACGCGGGGGCCGGAGACGGGUCGGCGAGCGCAGCCACAGCAGCCCUCCAGCGGGCCCGGGCCGACAAAACCUACCGCAGAAGCUACUCGCACGCGAAGCCCCCCUACUCCUACAUUUCCCUGAUCACUAUGGCGAUCCAGAACAGUCCGAGCAAGAUGCUGACACUCAGUGAGAUCUACCAAUUCAUAAUGGACCUCUUCCCUUACUACCGACAGAACCAACAACGUUGGCAGAACUCGAUCCGCCACAGUCUCAGUUUCAACGACUGCUUCGUGAAGGUUCCGCGAACGCCGGAUAAACCGGGAAAGGGCAGCUUCUGGACCCUGCACCCGGACUCGGGCAACAUGUUCGAGAACGGCUGUUACUUGCGCCGCCAAAAGAGGUUUAAGUGCGAGAAGAAAGAAGCCGUCCGACAGGCCGCCAAGAACAGCCCGAGGAGCCCGUCCCCGUCCGGCAAAGGGGGCAGCAGCGAGGGCCGGAUGUCCCCGCAUCCGCACCAGCAACCUCCACACCACCUUCAGCAGCAUCACCACGUGCAGAGGGGUACACCAAACAGCAGCCCUCAUGGAAUGGGUCCACAGGGCUACGGAGGCCAUCAGAUGACGCCACAUCCCAGCAAUUCCCACCUCGUCGACGCAUGCAAGGCAGAGGACCCUUCCUGCUGUAGUCCACCCAUCAACGGACAAGGGGGCAUGCACCAUGCGGCCCUCGAACACCAGCUCGCCGCCAUCCAUCCUCGCAAUCUCACAGAAGCUGCCGUUCUGCACUCCGGAAUGCUUGCCGCGGGACAGUUGAAAACAGACCCUCAUUUCAACCCUUCAAAUCACCCGUUUUCCAUCAACAAUAUCAUCGCCAGCGAGAACAAAGCAGACAUGAAACUUUACGACAUGGUCCAGUACGGGGCCUAUGCCCCUCUGUCCCCCGUAGGCCCCGGAGGACAGCAUUCCUUGCCCAAUGAUGCCUCUUCCUACUAUCACUCGUCGUUGUAUUCCGUGCACCAGUCGACGACCUCGGGCAUGUAGGUGAACAGAGAUGAUCGCCCAGGAUGUGAGGCGGACGGAAGAGUACGGACAGUCGGUCCUCCGCAACAACAAUCGUCCACCAGCUUCCGGUUGACUUCUCGUCCUCAUCAUGUCUUUCACGUGCAAAAAUAAUUUGAUACGACACCUCAGCCGCGAUGCUCCUUGUGAAUCGAACGCUGCCCGCAAGAUUAGCAAAACCUAGAAGGUGGCUAGGGGAAUCGGAUGGUCAGACGCAGGGAUCGACCAUGCUCUCUCAGUAUGUGUCCCGCACCAUGGUUUAGCGGCAUCAGGGGACACUUUCAGACGUCCAUUGCUCGAACACUGGAGCCAUGAACUUAUUGCU
RNA transcript from Uloborus diversus, 2101 nucleotides. It is a transcript of the gene named silk gland factor 1-like, with no coding region annotated. The record is from RefSeq and is a predicted model, not a curated record. The transcript is spliced from 3 exons. NCBI's taxonomy places the organism in Eukaryota, Metazoa, Arthropoda, Arachnida, Araneae, Uloboridae.